CUACGGGUUGCUGCAGUGAGGAAUAUUGCACAAUGGGGGGAACCCUGAUGCAGCAACGCCGCGUGGAGGAUGACGCAUUUCGGUGUGUAAACUCCUUUUAUAUGUCAAGAAAAUGACGGUAGCAUAUGAAUAAGCACCGGCUAACUCCGUGCCAGCAGCCGCGGUGAAUACGGAGGGUGCAAGCGUUACUCGGAAUCACUGGGCGUAAAGGACGCGUAGGCGGGUCGGAAAGUCAGGUGUGAAAUCCUACAGCUUAACUGUAGAACUGCACUUGAAACUUCUAAUCUAGAGUAUGGGAGGGGGAGAUGGAAUUAGUGGUGUAGGGGUAAAAUCCGUAGAUAUCACUAGGAAUACCUAAAGCGAAGGCGAUCUCCUGGAACAUUACUGACGCUAAGGCGUGAAAGCGUGGGGAGCAAACAGGAUUAGAUACCCUCGUAGUC
This 440-nucleotide ribosomal RNA is filed under the name uncultured bacterium. RNAcentral's name for it is "partial 16S ribosomal RNA". It matches the Rfam family "Bacterial small subunit ribosomal RNA", at positions 339 to 795 of the family's 1533-position model. The record is from RNAcentral.